GAUUUAUACCACCAGCUUUCCUGGUUCUCCACCUUGCAGAAAGAAGAUCCUGGGACUUCUAGCUCAGCUUCUAUAACCAAACAAGCUGAAUUUGAUUAAGUAUUCUUCAGGUGGCUCUAUCAAAUACUCUUGUAUAAUAUCAGUAUGAAGUAGCCCAGGAAGACAGUAGAGCAUAAUUUAAUAUGAAAAGGAGGUAGAGUUGGAGGUCUGCAUCUGUUUCUACCUUAUGGAGAAUCAACAGCAAAUACUUGGUUCCUGGAAUACAGGGAGGAGAAAAAUCCAACAGGAGUAUGAUGGAAAAACAAAUGAGCCAGGAAUCCAAAUUCUGCAUGAUAUUUAGUCUGGAAGAUAGAAAGUGGUUUCAUUGAAGACAAGGGAAGAAUGUUUCAAGCCGAAAAGAGUCAACAGUGUCAGAUGCAACAGAGGAACAGUGAAAGAAAACUUUAAAGACAACUGAAAUAAUUUGGCAAGUCAGUCAUUGAUGACGUUUGCCUGACAGUAUCAUUGAAAUGGUGAGGUGAGAAGACUGAUUUCAACUUCCUCUUGUGCAUGGGGGGAGAGAAAUGAGAGUAUUGCAUGAUGACAAAUAAAAUUUCCAGGAGCCUAGUGAUGAAGGGACAUAGACAUUAAGAGAUGUGAGGGGCGUUUGGUGUUUUGCUUGUGUAUACAAAUGUGUUUUUCAAGUU
This 686-nucleotide long non-coding RNA is filed under the name Homo sapiens (human). Its description in RNAcentral is "HSALNT0056500". Lineage: Eukaryota; Metazoa; Chordata; Mammalia; Primates; Hominidae. The record is from RNAcentral.